GCGGCGUGAACCGAAGAGGAGAGAAUGUGUGGCGAGCAGUGUUUUGGUUACAUGUCUGAGAUUGGUUUGCUGUUCUAUGAAGUUAACAGCAGUAGUGUAUUAUUUAUUCAUGAAUAUACAUGAAGUAUGUUAUUGAAGUGAAUUACACAUUUAUUUUGUAAAUCAUGAAUGUCUAUGUUAGAAAUAAUUUGUGUAUUUUAAUAACAAAUGUCAUACUAAAAAGAGAUACUGUUAUAAAAUAUGAAUAGGGCACCUCAAAGCUUUUGGUCCAUUGUCUCUCAGAAAGCUGAUUUAUGGCACAAUACACAUUUUCUACAAAAGUGUUCAUUUUUUUUUCCCAAUUUUAAUUUAUUAACAACCGAACAACAACAGGGUGUGGAUCUCUGGAUUAAUUUAAACCUUGCUGUUAAUCUAAUGCUUCUGGUACUAUUUAUGAUACACGCCAGUUUGUAAAAUGUUUUGUGCUUCAGAAUAUCACGUGAUGGCUGAGGCGCCAUCAAUCUGCGGGUGACCUCCAAAUAUCACCGGACCUUUUAGACCUUUACAAGAUACAACGGAUGAUGACCUGGCAACGAUCCCGCAAAGAAAGAUCAUUCCCGGCCACAGUCUGGGAGCUUGAGGGAGAUACUGUACAGCAGCCUGGAACCAAAGGCCUGUGAUCAGAAACAGCAGGGCUCUAAUCUGAACCUUAGCUCCAGGGAACAGGAAAUGACUCUGACCAGACAAGAUCAGGAAGGCCAUCAUAAUAACAGCACCUCCUGCCUGAGAGUUUUACAGACAGGUCGAACAGCCAUGUUAACAAGGUGGAUCUCUGGCCUGCUGGUUAGGGUGAGCUGUGAUGUGACAGGACCCAAGGGUGCGCAAAGUCAAGUUGUAGCCUAACUCCGAGCUACUCUUUCUCCUUCUCCCCAUCUCCUCCGCCCUGCAGGAUUAGCAAGAUUAUUAUUUUUGUAGAGAAAUAAUAAUAACAAUUUAAAAAAAAAGAGUUUUACUACUGUACAGCUUUUGUAUAAGAACAGACGGUAAGGUGUUCCAGUGUUUUUGUUCGACCUCAACUGUGCUGUGUGUAAUUGUUUUAUGCAUUUACAAUCAUAUUUAUUAAAUGGAAAGACGUCUGUUAACUGUGUUCUCAUUUUCUUACAAUAUUUGUAAAGAAAUACUAUGUAUUUGCAAAAGUAAUAAUCAACCUAUAAAGAAAACAAGACAA
Molecule: non-coding RNA, 1207 nt
Organism: Neolamprologus brichardi
Lineage: Eukaryota; Metazoa; Chordata; Actinopteri; Cichliformes; Cichlidae
Source: RefSeq, a predicted model, not a curated record